CUUUCACUGACAGCAUGCAGGAGAGUUUUUGAAACUUAGAAACCACUUUCAUACGGACCUGUCUCAUGAUAUAGUUGUGUGAGGAGUUCCUUUGUCUUAAAUGUGGCUCAUUCUUGGAUUAAUAUUUUGAUUAGGCCUCAUUUUUGGAGGGUCAGAGGGUGAAUCUCAUCUUAUCACUGCAUUUCUGCAUUAAAAAUGGAGCUCCAAGUCGAGAUACAAUAAGCAUGUCGUUUUGGUGACUGAUCUUCAACCAUCACCAAUUCUAUGAGGAUUCACGAGGCCACCUCUGAGAUGUGGUGGAUGUUGGACAGGGUGAGCUGAGCCUCCCGAGCCGGAUAGAAAUGUCUGGAGCGAAGCCACAACCUCCCAAAGACCCCCGUGAUCAGCAGCAGGACCAC
Amphiprion ocellaris (clown anemonefish) is the source of this 398-nucleotide long non-coding RNA. RefSeq lists it as uncharacterized. The transcript has 3 exons. Lineage: Eukaryota; Metazoa; Chordata; Actinopteri; Pomacentridae. The record is from RefSeq and is a predicted model, not a curated record.